GACGAACGCUGGCGGCGUGCCUAAUACAUGCAAGUCGAGCGAGCUUGCCUAGAUGAUUUUAGUGCUUGCACUAAAUGAAACUAGAUACAAGCGAGCGGCGGACGGGUGAGUAACACGUGGGUAACCUGCCCAAGAGACUGGGAUAACACCUGGAAACGACUGCUAAUACCGCAUAAGCGCACAGCUUCGCAUGAAGCAGUGUGAAAAACUCCGGUGGUACAAGAUGGACCCGCGUCUGAUUAGCUGGUUGGUGAGGUAACGGCCCACCAAGGCGACGAUCAGUAGCCGGCCUGAGAGGGUGAACGGCCACAUUGGGACUGAGACACGGCCCAA
Molecule: ribosomal RNA, 333 nt
Filed under: uncultured bacterium
Lineage: Bacteria
Description: bacterial SSU rRNA
Rfam family: Bacterial small subunit ribosomal RNA
Source: RNAcentral